This is a transfer RNA of Homo sapiens (human), 71 nucleotides long. It matches the Rfam family "tRNA". Rfam says of the family: Transfer RNA (tRNA) molecules are approximately 80 nucleotides in length. Their secondary structure includes four short double-helical elements and three loops (D, anti-codon, and T loops). Further hydrogen bonds mediate the characteristic L-shaped molecular structure. tRNAs have two regions of fundamental functional importance: the anti-codon, which is responsible for specific mRNA codon recognition, and the 3' end, to which the tRNAs corresponding amino acid is attached (by aminoacyl-tRNA synthetases). tRNAs cope with the degeneracy of the genetic code in two manners: having more than one tRNA (with a specific anti-codon) for a particular amino acid; and 'wobble' base-pairing, i.e. permitting non-standard base-pairing at the 3rd anti-codon position. The record is from Rfam. Lineage: Eukaryota; Metazoa; Chordata; Mammalia; Primates; Hominidae.
GGGGGUAGAAUUCGGGGUAGAACAUUUGACUGCAGAUCAAGAGGUCCCCGCUUCGAAUCUGGGUACCCCCU